This 253-nucleotide ribosomal RNA is filed under the name uncultured bacterium. RNAcentral describes it as "partial 16S ribosomal RNA". It matches the Rfam family "Bacterial small subunit ribosomal RNA", at positions 524 to 776 of the family's 1533-position model. The record is from RNAcentral.
UACGGGGGGGGCAAGCGUUGUUCGGAAUUACUGGGCGUAAAGGGCUCGUAGGCGGCCAACUAAGUCAUACGUGAAAUCCCUCGGCUUAACCGGGGAACUGCGUCUGAUACUGGAUGGCUUGAGAUUGGGAGAGGGAUGCGGAAUUCCAGGUGUAGCGGUGAAAUGCGCAGAUAUCAGGAGGAACACCGGUGGCGAAGGCGGGUCUCUGGGCAGUAACUGACGCUGAGGAGCGAAAGCGUGGGGAGCGAACAGG